Molecule: ribosomal RNA, 1054 nt
Filed under: uncultured beta proteobacterium
Lineage: Bacteria; Pseudomonadati; Pseudomonadota; Betaproteobacteria
Description: bacterial SSU rRNA
Rfam family: Bacterial small subunit ribosomal RNA
Source: RNAcentral
AAAGGUGUGCUAAUACCGCAUAAUCUCUCAGGAGAAAAGCAGGGGAUCGCAAGACCUUGCGCUUUAGGAGCGGCCGAUGCCUGAUUAGCUUGUUGGUAAGGUAAAAGCUUACCAAGGCUUCGAUCAGUAGCUGGUCUGAGAGGACGACCAGCCACACUGGGACUGAGACACGGCCCAGACUCCUACGGGAGGCAGCAGUGGGGAAUUUUGGACAAUGGGGGAAACCCUGAUCCAGCCAUGCCGCGUGAGUGAAGAAGGCCUUCGGGUUGUAAAGCUCUUUCAGCCGGAACGAAACGGUUACGAUUAAUACUCGUAAUUAAUGACGGUACCGGCAGAAGAAGUACCGGCUAACUACGUGCCAGCAGCCGCGGUAAUACGUAGGGUGCGAGCGUUAAUCGGAAUUACUGGGCGUAAAGGGUCCGCAGGUUGUUUUGUAAGUCAGAUGUGAAAUCCCCGGGCUUAACCUGGGAACUGCGUCUGAAACUACAAGGCUAGAGUAUGGCAGAGGGGGGUGGAAUUCCGCGUGUAGCAGUGAAAUGCGUAGAUAUGUGGAGGAACACCGAUGGCGAAGGCAGCCCCCUGGGUCAAUACUGACGCUGAGGGACGAAAGCAUGGGGAGCAAACAGGAUUAGAUACCCUGGUAGUCCAUGCCCUAAACGAUGUCAACUAGUUGUCGGGCCUUUACGGGCUUGGUAACGUAGCUAACGCGUGAAGUUGACCGCCUGGGGAGUACGAUCGCAAGAUUAAAACUCAAAUGAAUUGACGGGGACCCGCACAAGCGGUGGAUUAUGUGGAUUAAUUCGAUGCAACGCGAAAAACCUUACCUACCCUUGACAUGUAUCGAAGCCCGCAGAAAAGCGGAGGUGCCCGAAAGGGAACGAUAACACAGGUGCUGCAUGGCUGUCGUCAGCUCGUGUCGUGAGAUGUUGGGUUAAGUCCCGCAACGAGCGCAACCCUUGUCAUUAAUUGCCAUCAUUUAGUUGGGCACUUUAAUGAGACUGCCGGUGACAAACCGGAGGAAGGUGGGGAUGACGUCAAGUCCUCAUGGCCCUUA